RNAcentral lists this ribosomal RNA (335 nucleotides) under uncultured Dialister sp. Its description in RNAcentral is "bacterial SSU rRNA". It matches the Rfam family "Bacterial small subunit ribosomal RNA", at positions 355 to 681 of the family's 1533-position model. The record is from RNAcentral. Lineage: Bacteria; Bacillati; Bacillota; Negativicutes; Veillonellales; Veillonellaceae.
UGGGGAAUCUUCCGCAAUGGGCGAAAGCCUGACGGAGCAACGCCGCGUGAGUGAUGACGGCCUUCGGGUUGUAAAGCUCUGUGAUCGGGGACGAACGGUCCGUAAGCUAAUACCUUAUGGAAGUGACGGUACCCGAAUAGCAAGCCACGGCUAACUACGUGCCAGCAGCCGCGGUAAUACGUAGGUGGCAAGCGUUGUCCGGAAUUAUUGGGCGUAAAGCGCGCGCAGGCGGCUUUUCUAAGUCCAUCUUAAAAGUGCGGGGCUUAACCCCGUGAUGGGAUGGAAACUGGAAAGCUGGAGUAUCGGAGAGGAAAGUGGAAUUCCUAGUGUAGCGG